GUAACUCCCAUACUCUUAAGUUCAUCCUUGUACUCAUGAAUGUCCCUUCCAUACCGAGCCUCACUAUCAUCAACGAAAGGCAACAGAGAGAUUGAAGAGAUAGAUUCCCAGUCUGAACCAAAGAGUAUACAAUCUUCAGGUACUUUAUCAACACCAAUUCGAGUUGGCAGCCACUUGACCUUUUGAAAGCAGCUCAUAAGAUCUGAAGGAAACUUAAUUCUGGCUGUCUUAUCUUCAGGUACUCUAUCAACACCAAUUCGAGUUGGCAGCCACUUGACCUCUUGAAAGCAGCUCUUAAGCUCUGAAGGAAAUUUAAAGCUGGCUGCCUUCAACUUUCUGUAGCAUGCAAGAAGAGAAAGGGCACUAUCCUUGUUUAAGGCACCCUUCGCUGUCUGCUGCCUAAAAAGAGAAGCAAAAGCUUUAGUUGCCUCCUCAAAAUUAACAACCACCCCUAGUUUCUGCAACUCAGUUUUAUAUGACAAGAUAUCGCUUCCAUAGUAGCUUGUAUCAAUAAGAGGGAAACUGCCAAAAACCUGCAGCAGGCAGCCCCAUAGAGAAUCAAGCAAAAAACAUUCAGCCGGAGAUUUGCACCCCAUACGGUCUUCACACAUUUGCUAUCAAGUCCCCUGAAUAUUUUAUCAGAUGACACCAAAUG
Molecule: long non-coding RNA, 655 nt
Filed under: Nicotiana benthamiana
Lineage: Eukaryota; Viridiplantae; Streptophyta; Magnoliopsida; Solanales; Solanaceae
Description: long non-coding RNA (NBEN_LNC024511)
Source: RNAcentral